Molecule: unclassified non-coding RNA, 389 nt
Filed under: Hevea brasiliensis (rubber tree)
Lineage: Eukaryota; Viridiplantae; Streptophyta; Magnoliopsida; Malpighiales; Euphorbiaceae
Source: RNAcentral
AGCUAAAUGGGAUUUCCUGUUGGGUACACGGAAGUUCUCUUGCCAAAGCUGUUCGUGCACACACUAUCCUUUCUCGGUUUUAUCAGAAGCCUCAUUCUUUGCCUUUUUAACUAUCUGGGUCUCUCAGAUUUCCUUGAAACUGAUAACGUUUGGCCGGACAAUCCGACCCCAAUCCAGAGCCACACACUAGUUUCCGCCUACCUGAUCCGGGAAAUUCUACCCGUAAUAAAGUUCGGCGAUUUGGUCCCCGGAGCCAGCGAAGUUGAGCUGCCGGAGAGUUGUGCCGUUUGUUUGUAUGAGUUUGAGGCAGAUGCCGAGAUCAGAUGGCUGAAGAAUUGUAAGCACAUUUUCCACCGGGCUUGUUUGGACCGUUGGAUGGAUCAUGAUAG